GCUCUGCGGCGCCCCCCCCCAAUCACCCCCCCUCGUUCUACCUCCCUCAGGUCCUCUUCGGCGUGCCCCGCUGUCGGUGGGGUGGGCGGCCGUGAGGGAAAAAGAAAUGCAAGUCUGAGUGAUUCAAGAUGAGAAAUGGCUAAGCAGCACAUUGAAGACUCUAGUUCGGUUCAGCAUCUGCCCAAGGCCCGGGGAAAUGCUUUGGCUCAGCUGCCUUCAAUUUGUCUUCAUCACCAUCAUUAAUACUUAUUUCCUCACUGGAAUGAAAGCCGGGAUGGUACUCGCUGGGUGAAUACUCCGGCACAAAAGCUGCAGUGACUCAUCCAUCCCCUGAUGCCAUUACGAGGCACGGAAGAGCUCACACACGCUGUGCCUCCGAGCUGUUUGGAAACUCCACGUCCAGUGAAGGACUUUUUAUUGCUUACAGCCCAGCAGCUGUAUUUUCACUAAGCAAAAGGACUACCUGAAGAGAAAGUGCCCAGCCAAGGCAGCUGGAAAGAGGCCAGCGCUCGAGGCGCUCUGGCUGGCUACGCACAGCUCCCCUCCCGCCAGACAGCCCCGUGCUGCUGCCCAGCUCACACUGACUUUGUGUCUGCCAGUUGUAAA
Long non-coding RNA from Calidris pugnax (ruff), 606 nucleotides. RefSeq lists it as uncharacterized. The transcript is spliced from 3 exons. The record is from RefSeq and is a predicted model, not a curated record. NCBI's taxonomy places the organism in Eukaryota, Metazoa, Chordata, Aves, Charadriiformes, Scolopacidae.